UUUUUUUUUUUUUUAAGGUACGAUAAAUUUCCUUUAUUAUGUGUAUACGUUAGUGACAAAUAAAAAAAAAAAGUAAAAAUAAAUAAAUAAAUAAAUAAAUAAAUAAAAUAAAAAACAAUAAAAUUAAAAAAAUUACAACACAAAAAUUGGGGAAACAAAAACAAGAUUGUAAACACCACUUUAAAGUUAAUAAUUAAUGCAUAUAAUAAAACAAUUCAACUUAAGAAUUACUAACCUUUGAGACAUAUAUUAGAUAUAUAUAUAUAUAUAUAUAUAUUUUUUUUUUUUUUUUAAAUAAAAUAUAAAAAAAGUUAUUUGCUUAUGACUUAUAUGCAUUUAGCUUAUAUAUAACAUUUUUAUUUUGCUUACAAUUUUUAUUCUUCUUAUGUUGUUUUAGUUUUAGCUUUUGUUUGUGUUUUUUUGUUCUUUUGCUCUUUUGUUCUUUUUUUUCUUUUAUGUAAGCCACUUUAUUGUAUUUUUAUCAACUUAUUUGUUAUUUUAUACUCAUUUUAAAAUUUUUGUUUAAAGAAUAUGUUGAGAGUUUUAACAAAAUUUGGUACACAAUCACGUAACGAAAAGAAGGCCUUAUUGAAUAGUAUAAGUAGUACAUUUUUGGUGAAUAGUAGUAACAUUACGAAAAGGGAGUAUUCAUCAAUUUAUGUACAAAUAAAAAAUGAUAAUAACAAUAAUGCGAAUAAGUAUGGAAUAAAUAGUAUUUUUGUAAAUCGAAGCAAUAACAAUAAUAAUGCAAGUAAUAAUAAAAACUCGUACAGUUGCCAUUCUUGCCUUUUUCACAUAGACAAAAAAUAUAUCACUCGUUAUUGGGCUGAGUAUAGUAAGCCGAAAGUAGAUGAGUCAAAAAUAAAUGAACUGAGAGAACAAUUUGAUAUUUUAAAAGAUUAUAAUGAUAAAGAUUUAAUGAUAUGGUUAGAAUCUUUUAACAAAAUGGAUAAGGAUCAUGAUAAUUUUAUUUCUCAUGCAGAUUUACAAAAAAGUGAUUGGAGCUUAGAAAAAUAUACGCUCUUCCAAGAUUAUGACAUGGAUAAAAAUAAUCUAAUUGAUUUUGGUGAAUAUAUACAAGCAGUUAUUGAUAUAGAUACACAGCAUUUCAAGAACUUUUUUCAAGAUUUUAGUAAAAUUGAUAUCGACUUAGAAUUUCAAAAAUAUGCGAUUACUGAAAAAGAAAAUGACAAAAAGGUUAUACCUUUAACAAAAUUAAUGCAAAUGCUAAAAGAUAAAGAAUUUACGUGUGUAACCGAAACGGACUCUAUUAAAUUAUUUAAUUCUAUGGACAUUAACAAGGACGGAAGUAUAGAUUUUGAGGAUUUUGUACAGGUACGUAUAAAAAAUAUAAUAUAACGCUAUAGCGUAAUGUAACAUAUAUAUAUAUAUAUAUAUAUAUGUAUGUAUGUAUGUAUGUAUGUAUGACCAUUGUACGCAUCAUUUUUAUUAUAAAAUGAUUGUACUCAUAUAAGUUAACUUGUUCUUAUUUUUUUUUUUUUUAGUGGUUAGGAAAAUAGGAGUGCUACGACUUUAUAAAUAUAAUAUAGGGUUGUACAUAUUUUUAUUUUUACAUACUGGUGAAUUAAUUUGUCAAAAAAAACUGAAAAGUUUGUGGCAAACUUUGUAUAUCAAGAAAGUUUAAAUAAAAAUGGGAUCAAGUAAAAGUAUUUUUAAUUU
This 1680-nucleotide long non-coding RNA is filed under the name Piliocolobus tephrosceles (Ugandan red Colobus). RNAcentral describes it as "lncRNA (ENSPTEG00000001475.1)". Lineage: Eukaryota; Metazoa; Chordata; Mammalia; Primates; Cercopithecidae. The record is from RNAcentral.